Ricinus communis (castor bean) is the source of this 931-nucleotide long non-coding RNA. RefSeq lists it as uncharacterized. NCBI's taxonomy places the organism in Eukaryota, Viridiplantae, Streptophyta, Magnoliopsida, Malpighiales, Euphorbiaceae. The transcript has 2 exons. The record is from RefSeq and is a predicted model, not a curated record.
AAAAUACAGGGACCAAAAGCCGACAUGGAAGAAAAGAAAAAGAAGAAGAAGAAGAAGAAGAAGAAGAGAAGGAAGGAGAAAUCGAGGGGAGAGUGAAGGAGGAGGAGGAGCGGGCAGCGUUGACCGUCAGGACGCGCAGCGGAGCGGGCCGAAAGUGCUGCCGGCGUCAGCGAGUGCGACGGUGGCGGCGACAGCUCCAGAAAGCAGCGAUGGCGACAGUGAGAGCGAAGGACGCUGCAGCGGCUGUUCGGCGCCGUUCAUGGCGUUUCCGCCGUCGGUAGCCACUGUUCUUGGUGGCAAUCGACUCCCUUCGGUCUUGGCUUUGUUUUGGCGGCAGCGGCGACACUAAUGGCGGCCGGAAUUGGAAGUUCGCGGUGGAGAGAGAAAGUGGGUGGCAGCCGCAUUUUCUGGCUUUUCCGGCGAGGUAUGGAUGAUCGGAGGGCAUAUCCGGACUCUCCUCAGCUCAAGCUUCGCAAUGGCACCGGUUUCGUAGCGAUCUGACCCCGUUUGAAAAUCAACGGCUGAGAUCGUCUGUAAAUCUCUCCGGAUGAUGAGGGGUUGGAUCAAAAAAUCAAAAGCAGGGAUCGUCAUCAACGCGUCAUUUCGAGUUCGUUUGUGCGUUCGGAUUGUCGAUCGAACUCCGGCGGCUGGAGGCGAGUCGACCGAGCGAUAAAGCGUCUGGAUCUAUGAUUGUUAGUCUUCCUGCGGCUCUUAUCUAGCAACCCGACUCCAUCAUCGGGUGAUGAAAUUGAUUUAGUAUGUUGAAUUGUAAAAUUUUAGAUUCUCAACAGUAGAAAUAAUAGACUUAUCAGUUAUAAAUUAUUGUAGUUUCGGAUCUUGCCUAAUGCUUCUGGCAGACCGAAUUAAUUAUGUGGAAUGUAAUAGUUAAGAUAAAUUGUGACAUCAGUAAUAUCAGAUGAGAUUUAAUUAA